This 33-nucleotide non-coding RNA is filed under the name unclassified sequences. The record is from RNAcentral.
CUAUGGUUAUAAUUUAUACCAUGGCGGAAGGAG